UACGUAGGUGGCAAGCGUUGUCCGGAAUUACUGGGUGUAAAGGGAGCGUAGGCGGUUUGGUAAGUUGAGUGUGAAAUCUACCGGCUUAACUGGUAGGCUGCGCUCAAAACUACCAAACUUGAGUGAAGUAGAGGCAGGCGGAAUUCCCGGUGUAGCGGUGGAAUGCGUAGAUAUCGGGAGGAACACCAGUGGCGAAGGCGGCCUGCUGGGCUUUUACUGACGCUGAUGCUCGAAAGCAUGGGGAGCAAAC
RNAcentral lists this ribosomal RNA (250 nucleotides) under uncultured bacterium. RNAcentral's name for it is "partial 16S ribosomal RNA". It matches the Rfam family "Bacterial small subunit ribosomal RNA", at positions 524 to 773 of the family's 1533-position model. The record is from RNAcentral.